AGUGAACGCUGGCGGUAGGCCUAACACAUGCAAGUCGAACGGCAGCACAGGAGAGCUUGCUCUCUGGGUGGCGAGUGGCGGACGGGUGAGGAAUACAUCGGAAUCUGCCCAGUCGCGGGGGAUAACGUAGGGAAACUUACGCUAAUACCGCAUACGACCUUCGGGGGAAAGAGGGGGAUCGCAAGACCUCUCGCGAUUGGAUGAGCCGAUGUCGGAUUAGCUAGUUGGCGGGGUAAUGGCCCACCAAGGCGACGAUCCGUAGCUGGUCUGCGAGGAUGAUCAGCCACACGGAAACUGAGACACGGUCCAGCCUCCUACGGGAGGCAGCAGUGGGGAUUAUUGGACAAUGGGCGCAAGCCUGAUCCAGCCAUACCGCGUGGGUGAAGAAGGCCUUCGGGUUGUAAAGCCCUUUUGUUGGGAAAGAAAUCUUUCAGGCUAAUACCCUGGGAGGAUGACGGUACCCAAAGAAUAAGCACCGGCUAACUUCGU
This 489-nucleotide ribosomal RNA is filed under the name uncultured bacterium. RNAcentral describes it as "partial 16S ribosomal RNA". It matches the Rfam family "Bacterial small subunit ribosomal RNA", at positions 29 to 506 of the family's 1533-position model. The record is from RNAcentral.